This 336-nucleotide ribosomal RNA is filed under the name uncultured bacterium. RNAcentral describes it as "bacterial SSU rRNA". It matches the Rfam family "Bacterial small subunit ribosomal RNA", at positions 29 to 352 of the family's 1533-position model. The record is from RNAcentral.
AAUCAACGCUGGCGGCGUGCCUAACACAUGCAAGUCGAACGCGAAAGCCCCGCAAGGGGUAAGUAGAGUGGCAAACGGGUGAGUAACACGUGGGUGACCUGCCUUAGAGUGGGGGAUAACGUCCCGAAAGGGACGCUAAUACCGCAUAACAUCCUGCCUUUGAAGAGGUGGAGAUCAAAGCCGGGGACCGCAAGGCCUGGCGCUCAAAGAGGGGCCCGCGCCUGAUUAGCUAGUUGGUGAGGAAUGGCUCACCAAGGCAACGAUCAGUAUCCGGCCUGAGAGGGCGGACGGACACACUGGGACUGAGACACGGCCCAGACUCCUACGGGAGGCAGC